ACUCAAAGGAAUUGACGGGGAGGCGCACAAGCAGUGGAGCGUGUGGUUUAAUUCGAUACUAAGCGAUAACCUCACCAGGGUUUGACAUGUACUUGCUAAGCCUAUGAAAGUAGGCCUCCUUCGAGGGUAGUACACAGAUGCUGCAUGGCUGUCGUCAGUUCGUGGCGUGAGCUGUUAGGUUUAGUCCUGAAACGAACGCAACCCGCACCGUAUGUUAAAUAAUUCAUGCGGAACUGCCCCUAUUUUAGGGGAGGAAGGCGCGGAUGAUGUCAAGUCAGCACGGCUCUUACACCCUGGGCUACACACACCCUACAAUGGCGAAUAACAACGAGCUGCAAGCAGGUAACUGCAAGCUAACCUCUAAAAUUUCGCCCCAGUUCAGAUUGAGGGCUGCAAUUCGCCCUCAUGAAGUCGGAAUUGCUAGUAAUCGCGAAUCAGCAGGUCGCGGUGAAUACGUUCUCGCCUCUUGUACACACCGCCCGU
Molecule: ribosomal RNA, 483 nt
Filed under: uncultured bacterium
Lineage: Bacteria
Description: partial 16S ribosomal RNA
Rfam family: Bacterial small subunit ribosomal RNA
Source: RNAcentral